This 251-nucleotide ribosomal RNA is filed under the name uncultured Carnobacteriaceae bacterium. RNAcentral's name for it is "partial 16S ribosomal RNA". It matches the Rfam family "Bacterial small subunit ribosomal RNA", at positions 505 to 757 of the family's 1533-position model. Lineage: Bacteria; Bacillati; Bacillota; Bacilli; Lactobacillales; Carnobacteriaceae. The record is from RNAcentral.
GUGCCAGCAGCCGCGGUAAUACGUAGGUGGCAAGCGUUGUCCGGAUUUAUUGGGCGUAAAGCGAGCGCAGGCGGUUCUUUAAGUCUGAUGUGAAGCCCCCGGCUCAACCGGGGAGGGUCAUUGGAAACUGGAGAACUUGAGUGCAGAAGAGGAGAGUGGAUUCCACGUGUAGCGGUGAAAUGCGUAGAUAUGUGGAGGAACACCAGUGGCGAAGGCGACUCUCUGGUCUGUAACUGACGCUGAGGCUCGAA